Molecule: ribosomal RNA, 449 nt
Filed under: uncultured bacterium
Lineage: Bacteria
Description: partial 16S ribosomal RNA
Rfam family: Bacterial small subunit ribosomal RNA
Source: RNAcentral
AAUGAACGCUGGCGGCAGGCCUAACACAUGCAAGUCGAACGGAUCCUUCGGGAUUAGUGGCGGACGGGUGAGUAACGCGUGGGAACAUACCCUUUGGUACGGAAUAGCCUCGGGAAACUGGGAGUAAUACCGUAUGUGGUCGAGAGACGAAAGAUUUAUCGCCAAAGGAUUGGCCCGCGUUGGAUUAGGUAGUUGGUGGGGUAAUGGCCUACCAAGCCGACGAUCCAUAGCUGGUUUGAGAGGAUGAUCAGCCACACUGGGACUGAGACACGGCCCAGACUCCUACGGGACGCAGCAGUGGGGAUUCUUAGACAGUGGGGGAAACCCUGAUCUAGCCAUGCCGCGGGAUCGAUGAAGGCCUUAGGGUUGUAAAGAUCUUUCAGGUGGGAAGAUAAUGACUGUACCACCAGAAGAAGCCCCGGCUAACUCCGUGCCAGCCGCCGCAGUAA